GUGGAGAUUAGGUAACGAUAGAUUGAGAGAGAGGCAUAGAGAGAGAGAGAGAGAAUAAACGAUAUGGAGAGAGAUAGAGACAGAAUGAUUUUCCCAUGCGUCUUUUUUUCAUCUCUCCCUCUCCCUCUUUCUCUCACUGUGUCUCCCUCUCUCUCCAUAUCUCUCUUUCCUCCUUAGGUCUGUCUCUUUCUCUAUUCCUCUCUCUCUCUUUCUCUCUCUCUCUCU
This 225-nucleotide unclassified non-coding RNA is filed under the name Hevea brasiliensis (rubber tree). The record is from RNAcentral. Lineage: Eukaryota; Viridiplantae; Streptophyta; Magnoliopsida; Malpighiales; Euphorbiaceae.